GACACUCUCAUCAGAUGUGUGAAAGACCUGACGUUGGGAAUGGAGAAAAUGUGUUGAACGAGAGAGCCAGGGUUCCCAGAAGAUGCCAGCAGUUUAGAAUUCUGAUCAGAUUUAACAAGAAGGCAUUUAAAAAUGCUAAUUGUUAAGUACGAUGCUUGGAUUCCCAAAGCAGCUGAACAAGGGGUUGGGGAGUCAGCGCUGAGUGACAGGUCACAAUGCGAACCUCACAGAGGGAGCGGUGUGUAACUGGAUGAAGGCCCGCAGGAGGACAUCUAGGGUGAGCUCGAGCAGCACUGGGAGAAGGCCAGCAUGCCGAGCUGCUACUCGCCUCGGAUCAGUCAACACCUGGAAAGCAUUCCAGUUGGGGGACCACAGUUUAAGACUGACAUGGCUACCGAGGAUGGAUGCUGGAGCCAGAUGCUGUUCAAGUCCUGACUUUGUCUCCUACUGGCUGUGUGACCUUGGGCAAGUUACUUAACUAUGUUGAAACCAAAACUCAGUGAGAACACAGAGAGUGAGCAACUCCAGACCCUUGCUGUGACCACUGAGCAUCACUGCCUUCUUCCUGAGACCUGUCUCUUCUCAUUCUGAUUGGCCUGUGAACCUGUUGCUCCUUCCAGACCAACAGAGUACAGUGGUUGGAGAGGCCCAAACGUCUGCAGAGACGGGGGGCUGUACCAUUCUCAGAUUGGGGCUGGAGCUCGGUGUGACUGCUGGGGUUUCCUGCUAUUUCUGGAGCCUCCGUGCAUACUGCUUAGGGCUGGAUCCAGCAGCACAGAGGCAAACCGAUGUUAAUAGUCCACAUAACAUAUUUUAAUAUGAAACCAUCAGUUGACUGGUGUUUUCUUCUGAUUGUUCCUUAUGGUAUAUUUAGGGGGUAAAAAUGCUUCUCUGUUACAUGGAUCAAUUUCACCUUGAUGAAGUCUGGGAUUUUAGUGUACCCAUCACCGAAGUAGUAUACAUUGUACCCAAUAGGUAAGUUUUCAUCCCAAACUCCUCCCCCUUCUGAAUCUCUCCCCCUCUGGAUCUUCAGUGUCCAUUAUAACAUCUGUAUGGCUGUGCGUACCCAUAGCUUAGC
Non-coding RNA from Microcebus murinus (gray mouse lemur), 1078 nucleotides. NCBI's taxonomy places the organism in Eukaryota, Metazoa, Chordata, Mammalia, Primates, Cheirogaleidae. The record is from RefSeq and is a predicted model, not a curated record.